This 399-nucleotide ribosomal RNA is filed under the name uncultured bacterium. Its description in RNAcentral is "bacterial SSU rRNA". It matches the Rfam family "Bacterial small subunit ribosomal RNA", at positions 30 to 430 of the family's 1533-position model. The record is from RNAcentral.
AUUGAACGCUGGCGGCAUGCCUUACACAUGCAAGUCGAACGGCAGCACGGGAGCAAUCCUGGUGGCGAGUGGCGAACGGGUGAGUAAUAUAUCGGAACGUGCCCAGUCGUGGGGGAUAACGCAGCGAAAGCUGUGCUAAUACCGCAUACGAUCUCUGGAUGAAAGCGGGGGACCUGCAAGGGCCUCGCGCGAUUGGAGCGGCUGAUAUCAGAUUAGCUAGUUGGUGGGGUAAAAGCUCACCAAGGUGACGAUCCGUAGCGGGUCUGAGAGGAUGAUCCGCCACACUGGGACUGAGACACGGCCCAGACUCCUACGGGAGGCAGCAGUGGGGAAUUUUGGACAAUGGGCGAAGCCUGAUCCAGCCAUGCCGCGUGAGUGAAGAAGGCCUCGGUUGUAAGA